CAGCAGCCGCGGGAAAACGUAGGGUGCAAGCGUUAAUCGGAAUUACUGGGCGUAAAGCGUGCGCAGGCGGUUAUAUAAGACAGAUGUGAAAUCCCCGGGCUCAACCUGGGAACUGCAUUUGUGACUGUAUAGCUAGAGUACGGCAGAGGGGGAUGGAAUUCCGCGUGUAGCAGUGAAAUGCGUAGAUAUGCGGAGGAACACCGAUGGCGAAGGCAAUCCCCUGGGCCUGUACUGACGCUCAUGCACGAAAGCGUGGGGAGCAAACAGGAUUAGAUACCCCAGUAGUCCCUGUCUCUUAUAC
Molecule: ribosomal RNA, 301 nt
Filed under: uncultured bacterium
Lineage: Bacteria
Description: partial 16S ribosomal RNA
Rfam family: Bacterial small subunit ribosomal RNA
Source: RNAcentral